RNA transcript from Orcinus orca (killer whale), 13476 nucleotides. It is a transcript of the gene named leucine rich repeat containing G protein-coupled receptor 6, with no coding region annotated. NCBI's taxonomy places the organism in Eukaryota, Metazoa, Chordata, Mammalia, Artiodactyla, Delphinidae. The record is from RefSeq and is a predicted model, not a curated record. The transcript is spliced from 21 exons.
CUCAGGAUGGACCGUGUGGGGAGAGUAAGGUCAGGAGACGCGGCCGGCUCUCACUCCACCCUGGGCUUGGCCCGGCGCCGGGAUGAGCCCAGCAUCAGCCACCGUCUCUCGCCCUCAAGCCUCCCGCCUGGCCCUUCCAGCCUCAGGCUGGUGGAGCUGCAGCUGCCGGACUGGCCUCCAGGUGGCGCCAGACUGCCGACUCGGGCCGGUCCGGACCGCCAGGUGGGCGCGUCCCCCAGCCGGGCGCCUGGCUCCAUCCCGGGAGCAGGGUCCAGGGCUCCCGGGCUCCCACCUGACUGGGGCCGCGUGCAAGACGCUUUGUGAGUGGACGUCACACCUUCUCUAGUGGGGGGCCUGGGGCUCGGCUGGAAGUCUCCUCCUGUAGCCACCCGACCUCCACCCGCCCCGCGGCUCCGGCCCUUCACGGCCCACCUGGCGAGACAACCCCUCGCUCCCCUCCCCAGGAGCCAGGCUGCGGCGGGUGACCCCGAGUUGUACUUCUGGGGCUGCUCCCCCCCCAAGUGGGUGACCUCGAGCAAACAAGGUGCUUCCGGGGCCCUCCUCCGAUCCCCUGUGGCCCCGAGGCUGUCCGCUCUGGCACGGGGUCCUGAGCCCGCAGCCCAAACGCCUGCAGGACCCGCUCUCCGCUCUCCGGGUUGAAAUGAAAUUCCUGGAUUUUUUUCUUUCCUGGAUGAAAUUCCUGCCAGCUCGGAGGGAAGGAGGGAAGGGGAGCGAGAGGCGAGAAAGUUCCCUGGCUCCGCCCUCCCCUGCCAAGCCCAACCCGUGAAACCCAGGAGUGAAGACCAAGCAGAGAUGCCUGCUCCUCUCUGACUGUGCGCCACCGGUGCCCGCCGCCCUCCCGGCCGCCGCGAUGCCCAGCGCACCCGGGCUCCGCGCCCUCUGGCUCUGCGCCGCACUCUGCGCCUCCCCGUGCGCCCCCCAGCCUGGCCCGCGGCCCGCCUGCCCGGCCCCCUGCCGCUGCCACAAGGACGGCAUCAUGCUGUCGGCCGACUGCUCUGAGCGCGGGCUCUCCGCGGUGCCGGGGGACCUGGACCCCCUGACGGCUUACCUAGACCUGAGCAUGAACAACCUCACGGAGCUCCGGCCUGGCCUCUUCCUCAACCUGCGCUUCCUGGAGGAGUUGCGUCUCUCUGGAAACCGCCUCUCGCACAUCCCGGGACAGGCGUUCUCUGGUCUCCACAGCCUGAAAAUCCUGAUGCUGCAGAACAACCUGCUGGGAGGGAUCCCCGCCGAGGCGCUGUGGGAACUGCGGAGCCUGCAGUCUCUGCGCCUCGAUGCCAACCUCAUCUCCCUGGUCCCGGACAGGAGCUUUGAGGGGCUGUCCUCCCUCCGCCACCUGUGGCUGGACGACAACGCGCUCACCGAGAUCCCUGUCAGGGCCCUCGGCAAUCUCCGCGCCCUGCAGGCCGUGACCCUGGCCCUGAACCGAAUAGGCCACAUCCCCGACUACGCCUUCCGGAACCUGUCCAGCCUCGUGGUGCUGCAUCUCCAUAACAACCACAUCGAGCAUCUGGGGACCCACAGCUUCGAGGGGCUGCACAACCUGGAGACUCUAGACCUGAAUUACAACCAGCUGCACGAGUUCCCCGUGGCCAUCCGGACGCUGGGCCGCCUGCAGGAACUGGGUUUCCAUAACAACAACAUCAAGGCCAUCCCCGAGAAGGCCUUCCUGGGGAACCCUCUGCUGCAGACGAUACACUUCUAUGACAACCCGAUCCAGUUCGUGGGGAGGUCGGCGUUCCAGUACCUGCCCAGGCUGCACACCCUCACCUGGUGCUCUAUCUCCAGAUCUCUGAAUGGUGCCACGGACAUCCAGGGGUUCCCAGAUCUCAAAGGCACCACCAGUCUGGAGGUCCUGACCCUGACCCGUGCGGGCCUCCGGCGGCUCCCCCCGGGGAUGUGCCAACAGCUGCCCGGGCUCCGUGUCCUGGAGCUGUCUCACAACCAGAUCGAGGGGCUGCCCAGCCUGCACGGGUGUCAGAAGCUGGAGGAAAUUGGCCUCCAGCACAACCGCAUCUGGGAAAUCAGAGCUGACACCUUCCACCAGCUGACCUCCCUGCAGGCCCUGGACCUGAGCUGGAAUGCCAUCCGGUCCAUCCACCCCGAGGCCUUCGCGACCCUGCGCUCCCUGGUCAAGCUGGACCUGACGGACAACCAGCUGACCACACUGCCCCUGGCCGGGCUUGGGGGCCUGGUGCAUCUGAAGCUCAAAGGGAACUGGGCUCUGUCCCAGGCCUUCCCCAAGGACAGCUUCCCCAGACUGAGGGCCCUGGAGGUGCCCUACGCCUACCAGUGCUGUUCCUACGGCGUGUGCCGCGGCGUCUUCAAGGCCUUGGGCCGACGGGCGCCCCAGGGCCCUCACCCUGACGACCGCGACGCUCCCAAAAGGCCCCUGGGCCUCCCUGCCGACGCCGCCGAGAGCCACUAUGAUGUGGACCCAGACGAGCUCCAACUGGAGGUGGAGGACCCCAGGCCACACCCCACUGUCCAGUGCAGCCCUGUUCCAGGCCCCUUCAAGCCCUGCGAGCACCUCUUCGAGAGCUGGGGCGUUCGCCUGGCCGUGUGGGCCGCCGUGCUGCUCUCCGUGCUCUGCAACGGGCUGGUGCUGCUGAGCCUGUCCACAGCCGGGCCCGGCCCCCUGCCCCCGUUCAAGUUUGUGGUGGGGGCCAUCGCAGGGGCCAACACCCUGACCGGCCUCUCCUGCGGCCUUCUCGCCUCGGUGGACGCGCUGACCUUCGGCCGGUUCGCGGAGUACGGUGCCCGCUGGGAGUCGGGCCCGGGCUGCCGGGCCGUGGGCUUCCUGGCCGUGCUGGGCUCCGAGGCCUCCAUGCUGCUGCUGACCCUGGCCGCCGUGCACUGCAGCGUGGCCGUGGCCUGCGUGCGGGCCCGUGGGAAGGCGCUGGCCCCGGGCAGCUUGCACGCGGGGGCCCUGGGCUGCCUGGCGCUGGCGGGGCUGGCGGCCGCCCUGCCACUGGCCUCCGUGGGUGAGUACGGGGCCUCCCCGCUCUGCCUGCCGUACGCCCCGCCCGAUGGCCGGCCGGCCGCCCUGGGCUUCGCCGCGGCGCUGGCGAUGCUGAACGCCUCCUGCUUCCUGGCAGUGGCCGCAGCCUACGUCAGGCUGUCCUGCGAGCUGCCCGGGGCCGAGCUGGAGGCCGUGUGGGACUGCGCCGCCGUGCGCCACGUGGCCCGUCUCACCUUCGCUGACGGGCUCCUCUACUGCCCCGUGGCCUUCCUGAGCCUGGCGUCCGCGCUGGGCCUCGUCCCCGUCACCCCCGAGGCCGUCAAGUCCGUGCUGCUUCUGGCGCUGCCCCUGCCCGCCUGCCUCAACCCCCUGCUCUACCUGCUCUUCAGCCCCCACUUCCGGGAGGACCUGCGGCGGCUCCGGCCCUGCCUGGGGGUCCCGGGGCCUCUUGCCCUGGCGGCCGCCGGCCAGCUGGAGCCGAGCUCCUGCGACUCCACCCAGGCCCUGGUGGCCUUCUCGGACGUGGAGCUCAUCCUGGAGGCCUCCGAGGCGGGCCGGCCCUCCGGGCUGGAGACCUACGGCUUCACCUCCGUGACCCUCGCCCCCUGCCAGCAGCCCGGGGGCUCCCGGCCGGAGGGCAGCCACUUUGCGGAGCCAGAGGGAACCCGCUUUGGGAACCGGCCACCCGCCGUGGACGGCGGACAGCCGCGGGGGGCCGAGGGGGCCGUGCCAGCGGGGGCGGGCCAGGCGGGGGCGGGGGCCUUCCAGGCGUCUGGCUCUGCCUCGGCCUCACACUUGUAAACGUAUGUCCUCUCCGUUCCCCUACGCCCCUCCCCUCCCGCCCCCUCCGUGAAGGACGCUGCUUGUAAAAUAAACCCCACCAGAUGGCCCCGCCCCCGGCCCGCGCUCUCCCAGGCCACCACCGUGUGUACUUGGCCUGGGUUCCCCUCGGCCCUGCUCUGGCCUCUUCCCUGUCGCGUCUGAGGCUGAGGACCAGAGGUCUGGACGUUUGUCCGCUUAAGGUAAAUGAGGGGAGCAGAGGACAGUGACGGGGGCGGGGGCCCGAGCGGCCCAGGAUCAGGUGCGACGGACAGGGGACCGCACAGGGACCAAGGAGGGGCCGCCAGGGCUUCUCCCCUUGCUCCGGGACUGGAUGCACACGUGCUCUGUGCCCCGCUGGUCCUGAAUAUGCCGCUCAAAAGACUCCCGUGAAAACAAGUUUCUGAAAAUAGGACAUUGUGCCCGUUUCUUAGAGAUUCAGGGUGCACGUCAGUGUGGCAAAGAGGCAGGAGAAUCCCACAGCAGUGAGAUCUGUUGAACUUGCUUUAAGCCAGUUCCCCAAACUAUUGAACAAUAGGUUUUGGUUUGCCGGUUGGGUUUUCGUGGAAUAUCUACUAGCACCUCACAGACCAGCCCUCGUCUCUCCCAGGGGCCCCCUUUUGCACCACCUGGUGACAUCACAAGAGGCCACCAGUCUUAAAAGCCCGGUCCUGGGAGCUGGACCCUGUCAACCAGAUGUGGCCUUCUUGUCUCUGUUGUCCUGCCCUGAAAAGAGUGGGGAGCGGGCUGCUGCCCUGUGUUCCAGCCUCAGACCCCGGCACCGGGCAGGUGGAAGGGCUCCCAGCCACCAGAGAAGCUUCCGCCCUCAUACGAUGGAGGGUCCCUGGCUGCCGGCUGCCUUCCUGUGGUUCGCCAUCUGCCAUCUUCUGCCCCAAGCCGGGCCCCUCCCUGUGUGCCCCCAGGCCCUGCCCUCUAGGGGGCACAGGGAGCCCCUGACCAGCGCCUGGGGGGAUGUUUGUGUUGCAUGUUGGGUUGCAGGAAGCGUCACCCAGGCCUGGGACUCCUGGGCGCCCCAGAUUGGCUGGGACCUUCUGCCUUUCCCGCCGUGGCCUCCCUCCCUUACUUUUUACCAGGGCACCCCUCCCUGCCCUCAAAUACAGGAUGAGGAGUGAGAGCCAGGGCUCGGGAGAGGGUGAGACCUGUCCACGGCACCCCGAUGUCUGCCACGUCGGGAUGGGAGUCGGAAUCCGGGACCCAGCAGGACCCAGCACUCACCGAGUGCUGUCGUGGUCCUGAGCCAGCCCCCUAGGGCCUCUGCUCCUAGGACGACCUGGGAAGGUCCUUCUAUUGAUAGUUACAUGGCCUGCGGCCCAGUGUCUGUCUCCCUGCCCUCCCCCCGAAGUGGAAAUUCUCACAGGAGUCGCCAAAGCCACCAGGUGGGGUGGAGGGAUGAGGUGGGGACCACGGUGGAACCGGCACAUUUUCGAUCUCAUUCUAAGUCAGAGGCCAGGCUCUGAAACCAGACGUGCUGCCCUGGUGCCACAGAAGAGCCCCAGGGCCCAGGCACAGGGCCAGCCCCGGCAGGCGCUCGGUGGUGGUGGAUUCAUUUGUCAGCUGGUGACGUGAGAACCCCGGUCCCUGCACCUCCCGGGGUUGAUCAGGGGCCUCUCGUGGAAGCAGGUUGCUCUGCUCUGGUGCUGAGAAGCAGUGACUCUUAUGUGAGAAAGGAGUUCUCCGAGACGCCCCAGGGAUGGACAGCAAAGGGGGUGUGAUUUCGGGAGCCUCGACUUCUGGGAGGUCGUCCAGGCCCCUCCCUGUGUGGCCACCGUCCCCUCGGAGUCAGAGCUGUUGCUGGGUGGGCCAGGGGGAGGACGGCCCUGCGUUGGAGCCCAGGAGUCGUGGGACCCGUACCUGCAUUGGCCUCUCCCACGAGGAGGGGCUGGGGCUUCAGGGCUGCAAGCUCGAGGGCAGCCCCACCGCUGUCUGUGUUCUGUUCCCAACCAGCUGGGCAUUGGCCAGGGCUCCACCUUUUGGUUGGAGGAGAGGUGUUUGCCUGGAACUCUUUUUACUAUUCAAAAGCCUCGUAGAUGUUGUACAUUCACCCAACACGAGAGGCGAAGUAAAGUCUCUUCGUGUUCGCCUGGCUUUCCUGCAAGUCUGCGUCAAUCCUUGGUUCUCUCCGCUGUGAUCAGUAGAAGAUUAUGAAGAUAGGUAUAUCAUCGAUUAAACUCAACAUCAAAAGCCAAAUAAUUCAAUGCAUGUAGAUGCCUUUGUCUUGGAUUGAUGACAUAUUCCAAGAUGGUGCCCACGGGGAAGAGUCCGUCCCGGGGCCGUGGUGGUGAAGAUGCUGGUUCCCGCCACCCUGGCCUCUGACAGUGCUGCUGUGGAACACCCACGGUGCCCACCUGCCUCCCCGGACCACCUGCAGCAGAGGGUCCUGAGCAGCUCUGUCCACACCGUGAGGAAACCCAGCUCAGGGCUGGGUGCGAGGCCGCGGUUACAGAGCCUCAGGCGGGGCCUUCCCUUUGCCGUGCCCCCUCCACCUCAAGCUUCGAGCCUCCUUCCCAGCUUUGCCCGUCCAGGGUUGGGGAGUGGGGAGGACUGACGACGGUUCUCCGCAGGCCCGAGUAGGUGAGGACGGCGCCGGCCGUGGGACCCCUGACCCAUUCUGGCCUCUGUGCUGGUGCACCCCGCCCGGGUGGGCCCCGGGCUCGCCGAGCUGUGAAUAUUGAUCGGAUCCUUCUGAUAAAGAAGCACCAGUGGGCUUCCCUGGUGGCGCAGUGGUUGAGAGUCCGCCUGCCGAUGCAGGGGACGCGGGUUCGUGCCCUGUUCCGGGAAGAUCCCACAUGCCGCGGAGCGCCUGGGCCCGUGAGCCAUGGCCGCUGAGCCUGCGCGUCCGGAGCCUGUGCUCCGCAACGGGAGAGGCCACAACAGUGAGAGGCCCACGUACAGCAAAAAAAAAAAAAAAGCACCAGUGAAGUGAAGCCCCCGGGUCCCCCGGCCCCUCUCCUCUUCUCUUUGGUGGGUCUGUGGGCAUGGGGCGGGGGCUGUUCUGAGAGAGGAGGGUGCCCUGUGCCCUGGGCUCUGGGGCGUCGGGGCACAGCCUAGGGGGGGUCACCCUGCCCACCCAGAUUUAAGUGCCUUUGUGCACCUGGCACUGGGUUAGAGAGAAUGCCCGAGCCAUGGGGUUUCUAUCCUCAGACUCUGAGCACCCUGGACCCUUCCUGACACUGCAAACCCCAAAUACUCCGCUUGCUUUUCUGUCCUUGGCUGACCGUCUCAGCCUGCUUUCUGCCCUGGGAAUCUUCUCCCCCACCCUCUCUUCAGACUGGGAUGGUGUGUCCUUCACUGCACUUGUCGUAGACCCGUGAGGUACCUUCCCAGAAGUGGAACUGCGGGGUCAAAGGCCACUUACAAGUCACGACAUCUUCUCUUGACCUCAUAGCUCCUUUUGACGAAUAGUCUGUGUUUAUUCAUAAAUUCUGCUUCCAGGGGCCUCCCUGUGAGCCCUGCUCUCCCUCGAGGCCCCACCCUGCAUCCCUCGCUUCAGCUCCUGGGCUGGUGGCCUUGUUUUCUCUUGGGGUUUCCGAGGCAACGUCCUGAGAGGUUGAGUGAGAAUCCGACUAGCCGGGUAUCCUUCUCUCCACCAGGCCAAAUCACAGGUUGACCACUCAGGCCAGGCCCCUACCCUGGUCCCCUGAAGGGCAGUGUGUGGACUGGUGUGUCUGUGGGGCCCUGCUAGAGUUUAAUCCCAGCUAAACCAUCUACUAGUUGACUGAAUUUUGUCAGGUUAAUCAUCUUCCCCAUGUAGAAAGUGGGAAUAAUAAUCUCAAACUCAAACACUGUUAAAAGAAUUUUAAAAUAAUUUAUAAAAAGUGCCGGGACCUCCCUGGCAGUCCAGUGGUUAGGACAGUGAGCUUCCGCCGCAGGGGGCCGGGUUCGAUCCCUGGUCGGGGAACUAAGAUCCCACAUGCCGCUGGGCACAGCCAAAAGACUUUUUUUAAAAAAGGUGGGGCUUCCCUGGUGGUGCAGUGGUUGAGAGUCCGCCUGCCGAUGCAGGGGACACGGGUUCGUGCCCCGGUCCAGGAAAAUCCCACAUGCCGCGGAGCAGCUGGGCCCGUGAGCCGUGGCCGCUGAGCCUGCGCGUCCAGAGCCGCAACGGGAGAGGCCACAGCGGUGAGAGGCCCGCGUACCACAAAAAAAAAAAAAAAAAAAAAAAACCAGUAAAGUAUCUCAUAUAUAAAAGAAUAAAUGAAUCAAAAUAAACGAGUACAUGUAAGCAGACCCUACUCUCAAGGGGCCGCCUGGCAGGGGGAUGGGAGCUAAGCCAUCCCGUCCCUGCAAAGGGCCACCCUGACACUCAGCCCCGGGUCUGUUGUCACAGCCUCGUCAGGAGGAGGCAGAACCGCAGACGCCUCAGCGGUGAGACCAAGGGCCACCGCGUGCCCGCCCCUCUGUCUGGGGAGCAGCCCUCCGAGGGACCACAGUGGCUGAAGUUCCGCCCUGUGGCUUCUUUCUCCUUGGGGUGGGCCUGUGCCUGGGAUGCCUGUUGCUCUGGCCCAGUGGCCGCUUUCCUCCUUCUGGGAACACUUCAGCAACUGCUUCCACCGCCCCCUAAUGCAUGCGGCUUGCAGGGGUCUCGGCUCCGGGUCCAGUGGUGGCCGUGACUCCGGCUUCUCGGCUUAUUCUCUCUCUGCCACCGCGUCGGGUCCGAGGACGGGCUUCCAUCUCUGGGGCUCCCAGGGACCUGGGGGAAGCGUGACUGGACCCCUCGGUUUGUGAAGCGAUGACUCCUUUGCUCGGGUGCGAGUGUGAGAUCUGUCGCUCGGCUAGAGGAGACCCCUCUCUCAACACCCCCAGCCCAAAGCCUGGAGUAAACCCACUCACCUCUUAGCAACCCCUGGGGGAAGAGGGCAGCCGUGAAUGGGCUUUGGACAGGCAAGGAGGGUGGGCGGGGUGGGCUGUCAGGUGGGGAGAGUGGUGCUGGGAGGGGGUCCGCGGGGCAGAGGGGGAGGGGUGGAGGAGGGUGAGGGCGGAGGGGCAGGAGACCAGCCUCCUGGCUUCCUCCCUGAACCUGACCCCUGCAGGCUCUCCCAUGGGAGCUCACAGGAGGCUACAGAAUCACAGGACCGUCAGGUGGCAGCACGGGGACACGCCUUAGGGAGCAUCCACGCCCCCUCCUCACCGGGUCGGGGAGGGACGGCCCCACAGCUGCCCGGGGCCGAGGGGCAGAGGCACAAAAGGCAGAACAGUGUCUGUGUAGUCGGUACGUGGGGUCGUGGAGUUGGUCCAGCCUGGGUUCAACUCCCAGACCUUCCGUUGACAGCCCGCAGUCCUGAGUUUUACUUGACUUCUCUGUCUCAUUAUCAGAAACAUGGAAAUGACAAUGGUACCUAAGCUCUGAAGGUUAUUGAAAAGAUUAAAGGAGAUUUUUCAUGUAAAGAGCUUAGCUUAGUUCAUGACACUAGUAAGUACUUGAGAGAUGUUAGAUGUUAUUACUUAAUCCAAAAAGCAACGAGAAACUGGGGCUCUGAGCUGUCUUCCGGCUCAGCCUUGAGCACACUUGACACAGAAGAGGAAGGGUCCCCGGAGGAGCCGCUCCUAAGAAGAAGGCUGGCAACCUGGGCUUGGAGCCCGGCAGGAAGGCUGUGGGUUCGCAGGGGUCCAUGGGUGACGGUGCCGGGGACCCUGGGCCAUGAGAGAGGAGUGUCCCCUGGCACGGGCCAAGGUGGCUGGUGAGCUGUCAGCCGGGGGAAGCUGGGGGCUCCCCAGAGAGGACGUGUGCAGGGGGUCUCAAACAUACCUCCGGGUCUGGAGAGAACCCCGAGACUAAGCUCACCCCCAGGGCAACUGCCUCUGCUGGGGGGGGUCUGGGGGAAAGCGGCUCAGCAGGCCUUUCUCCAAAGCCGAGCUGCAAGGUCCUGCUUAAAGGGAGGCAGCGAUGGGUGGGAGGACGGAGGUCUGGCCCAGUGGGAGGUGGGGUCGGGGGAGAGGCAAGCCCACGAGGGGGAGAAACCGAGGGGACCUGUCACCUGAUGGAGGCUGAGAGCUGGGGCGGAUGGGCGCUCGGUGGCCCCGGCAGGAGCCAUGCUGACUGGACAGAAGGAGAAAGUGCAGGCGUAGCUUCUGGGCACAGAGACCUGCGCCCACCACCCCACCUGUCACAGCUGUCCGGGCUCCCUGUGUGGGAUCCAAGCCUCCCAGCGGCCAGUCAGCCCGGGGGCAGCGCGCCCCUGUCCUUCCCUCCCCCAGGCUGCCCCAACCUAAACAGGGCAACCUCGGGGAGCUGCUGGCUGAUGGAAAAAUAACUUGGCUGGGAAAGGGGCUUUAUUUGUCUGUGCUGAAUUCCCGCCGCAGCCGAAGGGUAAAGACCUAGUCUCAGCCCGCAAGGUGGGUGGUAAAUCUGUUCUUACUUAGAUUUUGGGGAGCCGCGGGGGCAGCAGGAGAGGAUACUUGGAAUCCGCAGUGUCUCUGGGAUCAGUCACGUCAUCUCCUCUCCGACUCGGGGGAACGGCGUAGCUUGCCUGUCCCGGCAAGCAGCGCUUUGAGGCCUUAUGUGGCUGGCCCGUCGUCCCCGCCCCCAGCCCCUGCUAAGCUCGCGGGGUCGGCCCCGUGCUCGGCGCUCUGGGUGCAGUACCCCGGUCAGUCCCCACAACUGUCCCCCGCUUCUACAGGACAAACCCAAAGCGUGGAGAGGUUGAGCAGGGCUCUGGGGGCCUGGGCCGGCCAGGGUCUCCUGGACCCGUGUUCAUGCUUUUGAUGCUUUUCCAUCCUUCCCUGGGCUGCAGGCGGGGCUGGGCUUCCUCAUCUCCCUCUUCUCACUUCUGUUCUCUGCCCAAGUCCCGUGUACUUGUUAACCCAGAGAUGGAGGGAUGGCUUCUAAUUAAUGACUCCUGGCUUUGGUAUUUCUUGCAAUCAGUGCCAAGGCCCUUGUGGCCACUAUGUCCCAGCACUUGGAGUGGACACACUGGCAGACGGGUACAGGGCCAUGAGGUACACCAGGUCAUGGCCACGGCUCCUUCCAAGGGGCCGGACAAGGGCAUCCCAAGGCAGCUACGUGGGCUGAGACCAUCCAGGUAGUCAGGUAGAGUCAGGGGGACGGCACAGGCCGGACGGGCUGGUGUGCUGAGACUGGAGGGGGCCAGUGCGGCUCAGUGUGGUGUACAGAGCGGAGGGUGUGCGGGGAGGGGAGGCUGAGGGAAGGCACUGGAGGGUUUUAGGAGGAGGUGCAGUCUGGCUCUUUCAUCAUCUGAAUUUGUUCUUGCUGCUGUGAGGAGCAUGGACCGCAGAGGGUCCAGGCUGGAGGCCAGGGGACAAGGUACCGGCCGUGAUGGCAGUGCAGGUGAGAGACCUGGUGGUGGCCAGCUGUCGAGGGGGCUUGUCCUUUCCCACAACGACCCCUAAGGCCAUCCCGCUUCACACCUGGCCUGUACCUGCAUCGACACCAUCAGCACUUGGUGUCUCCCUGCCACAGCGGCUGGUUUUUCCACUGCCGCUGGAUGUGAACAAGAAACACAUGACCCUGAGGGCUGCUGGUGGUCACUCCAGGAGGGGAAGAAGCUGAAGGAGGGGACAGUGAGGACGGAUGGCAGGUGCGAGAGACACAGCCUCUGAACCACCGGUCCAGACGCCCGCCCUGGCCCCAACUCCCGGACUUCUGAACACCUAGAAUCCCGGAAGCGUGACGGCCACCGCACUGUCGCUGAGGCUAUUUGGCCCCCACGUCCAUCGUUCAGUGUCCCGAGUGAUGCUGAUGGGUGUUGAAAAACAGGAUCCAAUUUUGAUUUAUACACUGCAUUUGGAAAAUCCCCAUCGGUCUCAGAACUGACGCCCCCCGUGAUUACUGAGCUGCUUCUCUCAGGACCUGUAACAAGCCUGGCCUGGUGAACAGAAACAGAUUUCUCAGUUUUCAAACAUGAAGAGCUUCAGAGUUGUAUUUACUAUUGAUUUCUAAUUCAGAAUGCUCAUGGAGCCACAAGCAUAAGAAACAUGAAGAAAACACCAAGACACAUCCUUAUUAAACUGCAGAAAACCAGUGAUAAAAAGUUUAAAAAGCAUCAGGAGGAAAAAAAAGUCAUAUUAUGUACAGAGGAACAAAUGUAAAAAGGCAGCAAAUGUCUCCUCAGAGACAAUGCAUGCCAGAGGACAGUGGAACCACAUCUUUAAAAUAUGGAAAGAGAAAACUGUUGACUUAGAAUUCUAUAUCUGGCAAAAAUUAAGGAGAUAAAAUGGAAAAAUAAUUAAACAUAAGAGUAAAUCUUUGCGACCUUGCAUUGGGCAAAGUCUUCUUACAUAUGACACCAAGAGCACAAGAAACAAAAGAAAAAAUAAACUGAAUUUCAUUAAACUUAAAAGCUUUUGUGCUUCAAGAACAUCAUGAAGGAAGAAAGUGAGGGACUUCCCUGGUGGUGCAGUGGCUAAGAAUGCAGGGGACGUGGGUUCGAACCCUGGUCUGGGAAGAUCCCACAUGCUGUGGAGCAACUAAGCCUGUGUGCCACGACUACUGAAGCUCAUGCGCACCGCAACAAGAGAAGCCACUGCAAUGAGAAGCCCACGCAAGGCAACAAAGGGUAGCCCCUGCUCUCCGCAACUAAGACUGAGCACAGCCAAAAAAAGAAAGUGAGAAGACGAUACACAGUAGGAGAGAAAACAUUUACAAAUCAUACACUUGAUAAGGAACUUAUUUGUAUCCAGAACAUAUAAAUAACUCAAUAAUGAAAAGACAACCUGAUUAAAAAAUGGACAAAGGAUCUGAAUAGAUAUUUCUCCAAAGAAGAUACACAAAUAAUUCAAUAAGCACGUGAAAAGAUGCCCAACAUCAUUAGUCACUAGGGAAAUGCAAAUCAAAACCACAACAAGCUGUACCUUCACAACCACUAAGAUAACUAUAACCAAAAAGACAGCAUCUAAGUGUUGGUGAGGGAUGUGGAGACACAAAUCCUCAUAUGUUGCUGGUGGAAAUGCAAAACGAUGGAGCUGCUUUGGAAAACAGUCUGCCAGUUCCUCAAAACAGUUAACAAGGAGUAACUUAUAACCCUGUAAUUCUACUCCUAGGUAUAUAAUCAAGAGAACUGAAAACAUAUCUACUUAAAAAUCUGUACAUGAAUGGUCACAGCAGCAUUAUUCAUAAUAGCCAAAAAAUGGAAACAAUCCAAACGUCUGUCAACUGAAGAAUGUAUAAACAAAACGGGGAAUGUCCAUACAAUGGAAUAUCAUUCUGCAAUGAAAAGAAAGAAAGUGAUUCACCAAUUCCACUUCUGGGAAUACAUCCAAAGGAAACAACUCUAACUUGAAAAGAUAUCUGCAUCCUCAUGUUCUAAGUGUUAUUAACAAUAGCCAAGACUCAGAAACAACAUCCAUCAAUGGAUGAACAGCUAAAGUUGUGGUAUGUAUACACAAUAGAAUACUAUUCAGCCAUAAAAAAGAGGAAAUCCUACCAUUUGCAGCAAGAUGAAUGGACCUUGAAGGCAUUAUACUAAGUGAAAUAAGUCAAAGACAAAUACUGUAUGACCUCACUCACUUAUAUGUGGAAAAGGUCACAUUUCAGGAUCUGGUUCUCAGUUUUGUCGUCUAAAACUUCAACUUGGCAGUAAACCUAGAUUUGAUAGGGCUUAGAUGUACUAAUUCAUGCCAAGCUCACUCACAAAGACUUAAACAUUAAUUAAAAGGUCAAUUUAUUGAUUUGUAAAACUACAGUAAAAUUUUUAACUCCA